UACAGAGGGUGCAAGCGUUGUUCGGAAUUAUUGGGCGUAAAGCGCGUGUAGGCGGCUUUGCAAGUCGGGUGUGAAAGCCCUCAGCUCAACUGAGGAAGUGCGCCCGAAACUGCAGAGCUUGAGUACCGGAGAGGAUGGCGGAAUUCCCCAAGUAGAGGUGAAAUUCGUAGAUAUGGGGAGGAGCACCGGUGGCGAAGGCGGCCAUCUGGACGGAUACUGACGCUGAGACGCGAAAGCGUGGGGAGCAAACAGG
This 253-nucleotide ribosomal RNA is filed under the name uncultured bacterium. RNAcentral's name for it is "partial 16S ribosomal RNA". It matches the Rfam family "Bacterial small subunit ribosomal RNA", at positions 524 to 776 of the family's 1533-position model. The record is from RNAcentral.